This 1868-nucleotide long non-coding RNA is filed under the name Mus musculus (house mouse). RNAcentral describes it as "long non-coding RNA chr16:32986238-32988106". The record is from RNAcentral. Lineage: Eukaryota; Metazoa; Chordata; Mammalia; Rodentia; Muridae.
UAAAUUUACCUUUGUUCUUUCAAUGUUGAUUUUGCUAAGCUAGGAUGGCUUUUUUUUUUUUUAAUUCUUUUUGGCUGUGUGUGUAUACAUGCAUACUCCACAGCAUGCAUGUUAGAGGUAAGAGGACAACUUGAAGGAGUUGGUUCUCCUCUUCCACUGUGUGGGUUCCUGGGAUUGAACUCAGGUAUUGGGUUUGGGUAGCAAGCACCUUUACUGGCUGAACUUUCUUGUCAGCCAGGCUUUCUUUUAUAAUACUUGAACUGGCAUUAAUUGUCAGAUAUCUAUAAAUCUUGGGAUUUGUCUUCUCAGUUCCUAAAGCUUGUGUUCAUGAUAGACCCUGCUUUUGUACAUGCAAGAACAUCGUGAGGGAGAAAGGUUAACAGUAGAGUGUUACCACUGCAGAGUAGACUUGAGGUAGCAGUGUUCUUUAUGUUGAUGCGGGUUACUGACAUGACAUCCCUUGUCCCCCUUACAUGUCUAAAAUGAGACCUCUCUUGCAGCUUUCACAUUCAGACUUGGAGCUUCAUCAGAGGAGAGAGCAGUCUAUUGAGUGCACUCGGAGAGAGGCACAGCUUGCUGCCCUGCAGUACGAGGAGGAGAAAAUAAGGACCAAGCAGAUUCAGAGAGAUGCUGUCCUAGACUUUGUCAAAGUAAAUCCUUUACCAUCAUUGAUGGAUACUCUUGAAGUUAGGAGAAGAAAUGUUUAUUCAUUUUGCCAAGACUUUCUGUUAUUAUUGCAUUAAUUAAAGGGAGUUUGAAUUGAAGUUGGCAUAAGCUAGGAGAAAACCAUGGGAAGAAAGAUCCUACUGAAAACCCAUCUAUGCAUUGUAGAGCAGUCUGGAAAGAAGCAAGAGGGGAAAGUGGAAUAGAUAGAAUCACAGUAAUUAGACUGGUACAAAAGUGGAGGCAGGACCUCUAAGUUUAGUUGGCAGUGAUGCCAAGGAGACUCAGAAGCAUCUGAGUUUGUGUCUACAUGUGUUACUGUGUGCUGUAUUGAGCUGUCUCCCCCCCCCACCCCCCCGUUGUGUAUGAUACUAAACAUAUCAAUCAAUAAUUGUAAUAUUACCAUGGCAGGUGCUAUGCCAUUUGUAAUCUAAGUAUAUGGGGAAAUUUCUAAAUUAAUGGGUACUGAGCAGUGAAUAAAUCAUUGAAGAGAAAUUUAAAAACAAAGUAAAAGAAAUAAAUAGAUGAACCCAAAGCAAGGUUUUAAUGAGAGUCCAGUUUAGGUCUGUGAAAGCAAUGAGGAGCCAAAGUCAGAGGACAGUGUAAAUCUCAGCUACGUUUCUUACCGUUUAAUGUCUCAUAUCCUGGACUCCCAGUUUUCUCUGCUUGUGGUAUUUGUUUCUCUUAUAGAAUGAGAAAAAUCACUUGAGAUCAUGUGUGUAAGAUAACAGUGCGGGCCCUGGAUAUGUAGCUGGGCUAGGGAAGUAGACAGUGCUCCCCUAGCAAGCAUGAGCCCUAGAUUCCACCCUAGCACUGCUUAAACCAAGUGUCCUAGCACUGGGAGAUGGAGGCAGGAGUCAGAAGCUCGAGGUCAUCCAUGCUACCUGAGAUACUGUCUCAAAAAAGAAAAAGAAAAACCAGGCAUGGUGGCACAUGCCUCUAUUCCCAGCACUUGGGAGCCUCCCACCCCCAACAAAAGUAAAGAAAUUUCAAAAUACUAGUUGUGUACAAACGUUUAUUUGUCAGAAUAACAGAAUUAAUAAAUUGGGGGAAAUGGCUUGUAAUUAAGAAAUUAUAACCAGGUGGUAGUGCAUGUCUUUAAUCCUAGCACUCAGAAGACAGGGGCAGACAAAUCUUUUGAGUUUGAGGCCAACAUGGUUCUAGGACCAUCAGGGCUACAGAGAGAAACCCUGUCUUGAAAAACC